AGCGGGGGAAGGUAGCUUGCUACCGGACCUAGCGGCGGACGGGUGAGUAAUGCUUAGGAAUCUGCCUAUUAGUGGGGGACAACAUCUCGAAAGGGAUGCUAAUACCGCAUACGUCCUACGGGAGAAAGCAGGGGAUCUUCGGACCUUGCGCUAAUAGAUGAGCCUAAGUCGGAUUAGCUAGUUGGUGGGGUAAAGGCCUACCAAGGCGACGAUCUGUAGCGGGUCUGAGAGGAUGAUCCGCCACACUGGGACUGAGACACGGCCCAGACUCCUACGGGAGGCAGCAGUGGGGAAUAUUGGACAAUGGGGGGAACCCUGAUCCAGCCAUGCCGCGUGUGUGAAGAAGGCCUUAUGGUUGUAAAGCACUUUAAGCGAGGAGGAGGCUACUUUAGUUAAUACCUAGAGAUAGUGGACGUUACUCGCAGAAUAAGCACCGGCUAACUCUGU
This 447-nucleotide ribosomal RNA is filed under the name Acinetobacter baumannii OIFC137. RNAcentral's name for it is "bacterial SSU rRNA". It matches the Rfam family "Bacterial small subunit ribosomal RNA", at positions 65 to 506 of the family's 1533-position model. The record is from RNAcentral. Lineage: Bacteria; Pseudomonadati; Pseudomonadota; Gammaproteobacteria; Moraxellales; Moraxellaceae.